RNAcentral lists this ribosomal RNA (372 nucleotides) under uncultured organism. Its description in RNAcentral is "bacterial SSU rRNA". It matches the Rfam family "Bacterial small subunit ribosomal RNA", at positions 526 to 896 of the family's 1533-position model. The record is from RNAcentral.
CAGGGGGUGCAAGCGUUGUUCGGAAUGACUGGGCGUAAAGCGCGGGCAGGUGGCCCGUUAAGUCUGCGGUGAAAUCCCGGAGCUCAACUCCGGAUAUGCCGCGGAUACUGGCGGGCUAGAGACCAGUAGAGGCGAGUGGAAUUCCAGGUGUAGCGGUGGAAUGCGUAGAUAUCUGGAAGAACACCGGUGGCGAAGGCGGCUCGCUGGGCUGGUUCUGACACUCAUCCGCGAAAGCGUGGGGAGCAAACAGGAUUAGAUACCCUGGUAGUCCACGCCGUAAACGAUGGGCACUAGAUGCCGGGUCUAUAGACGGAUUCGGUGCCGCAGCUAACGCAUUAAGUGCCCCGCCUGGGGAGUACGGCCGCAAGGCUG